GGUACCUCCUUUCAAGGAAGCGUUCUGAUACUGGAUUGGGUAACUGGUCUGGUUUGGAGUGCUCCAAAAAAAAGUCCUUUGCUGCAGGAUCGGCAAAGGCGCUCAGGUCUGACUGAGCUGCUCUUAGGAGCGGAAGCGCCGUCAACAUAUCCCUUUCUACGAUGAGAUCUGACCAUGUGGAUGGUUUCCACGGGUUGGACCGGGUUUGGGCUAGUAGCUCAGUUGGUUAGAGCACACGCUUGAUAAGCGUGGGGUCGGAGGUUCAAGUCCUCCCUGGCCCACCAGGUUUGGGGGCAUAGCUCAGCUGGGAGAGCACCUGCUUUGCAAGCAGGGGGUCGUCGGUUCGAACCCGUCUGCCUCCACCAGUUGAACUGGUCUGGUUAGGUUGGGAUUGUGGUGCUUUGGCGCCUGCCUGACCGUCUCAUCGUAAAAAGGGUUUGAAGAGAUCGGACCCUUUCCUGACAUGACCGCGGUGCGGCUGUCUGGAGAGAGUGUCUGGUAAUGUGUUCUUUGUCAGUGUGAAUCGGUUGGUGCGUAUCUGCGCGUGCCAGAAUUUCGGGUUGGUCUGACCCGUGAGCUGCGCAAGUGGUUCAUGAAAGAAAUUUUGGCGGAAACGUUCAGAUGCGGAAGAAAUGUGACGCGCUCGGAUGAGCUGUCGUGCCUGUUUCCUGAAAAGUCU
RNAcentral lists this transfer RNA (679 nucleotides) under Acetobacter estunensis. Its description in RNAcentral is "partial contains 16S ribosomal RNA and 16S-23S ribosomal RNA intergenic spacer". The stretch from base 208 to 281 matches the Rfam family "tRNA". The record is from RNAcentral. Lineage: Bacteria; Pseudomonadati; Pseudomonadota; Alphaproteobacteria; Acetobacterales; Acetobacteraceae.